Non-coding RNA from Physcomitrium patens, 3085 nucleotides. The record is from RefSeq and is a predicted model, not a curated record. NCBI's taxonomy places the organism in Eukaryota, Viridiplantae, Streptophyta, Bryopsida, Funariales, Funariaceae.
GAUUUUGUCUCUGGAUCCCUUCCCGGCGAAACUAAGCCUGUAGUUGCUCUUCGAAAUCCACAACCUUCUACUUCUUCUUCGUCCAGUGGAGGUCAUCGCAACUAAGGUUGUACCACCAUUCUGUGCACAGUCAUUGCGUACUUCUGUGGCGAGGUCCGUGCAACAGCAGCUGAAUCCGUUGUUGAAUCGAGCGUGAGUGUGACAUAAGUGAUUCACUUGGGUGGGGUACACGCGCUCGGGAAGAGAGUGAAGUGAGAGGAGAGGAGAGUAGAGAAGAGGGGAGGAGGAUUUUUUUUUUUUUCUAUAUGAUUAUCGAGGAUUUAGUGGGUUUGUUGUUGUUGAAUUUCCAGGCGAUUUGGAAUGUGGUGGAUAGAGCUGGAUUGGGUUUUUUGAGUAGUGGUGAUCUAGGACCGAGGGGUGUGAGGAUUUCAGAAGUUUCUGGAAUUUUACUGGGUGGGGUGGUCGAACUGUGUCAUCGAUUGAGGUAGUUGUGUAUCGUGAGCUUGGGAGAUUGGGUGUGUAGUUUUGGUAGGUGUGGGUCGAGCGCUCCAAGCAGUGUGCGGGGUAGGAGUCUCUCGAUGGUUUCCCAAGUGUAGUGACGUUUUGUUGGGCCGAUAUCAGUUGCCAAGCUGCAGCGAUCGGUGGUUUUUGUCCCGCUGAAGAGGAUUCGAUUGCGACUUCGAAGAUGCUGUCGGCAGUCCUUCAGGAAUUCGAAUUCUGACAGCAUUGUGCCUUCGCGCGAGGAAUUCCCGUUCCUGCGGAAUGCCACUGGUGUCUGCAGAUGAAUUUGCCUUGAACUCGUGAAGUUCCUCUAGUAUCAAUUGACAAGAGUUCCGAGUCAGUUGGGGACGAAGUAACCCGAGAAAACCAGUCCUCAAUUGUAACAUAGAUUUUUCCUGAUCGUCGGCGUCUCCUUAUCAGCCUUGUCAGUGUAUCGAAUUUCUCGCAUUGACCUCAGAUUUCACAGUCUCGACCUUUUCGAUGAUCCAGCUUUCUACCAUCCUAUCGCCUUUUCGCAGUUGGUGCAGGGUCUUGCAAAGAUUGCAGCACAGGCUCUCAUUCUUUAGACCAAACGAAGGUGUCAGUUCCAGUGGUCGUAUUAAAUUCCUGUAAGCUAUCAGGUAGGACUGUCUCCUCGUUCCAAACCCAGUUCGCCGAAGGGACGGAGUUUUAUUACUGUCGCGAUCGUUCUCUACAUUCCGAGGAGGUUUCGUUGACAUCCGGGAAAUUUCAUUCUGGAAACAUAUCUGGGUAGUAGCGAGAGAGAGAAAUGAGCACAAAUUUUGAGUACACAGAGGGUUUGACAGUGCUCUUUGUCCAACACAGUAUACCACUACCACUAAGAAGGCUCAAAACUGAAACAAUUCUGCCAAUUCGUUCAUGAAGGAGAUUCUUAUCGAGGAGAAAUUCGCUCACAUCGAAAGUCUCCGAAAUCACGGUUGAAGAAGACCUGUUCGUGCUCGAUGGUUGAUCCGGACCGCAGACCAGACCGCGAUACGCGUUGGUGGAUGUACUGUCAACCUCACAUUCGCGCCCUUAGGGAAGUCAUGUACUCAGCCAACGCGAACAAAGAAGUGGAGAUACUCUUGCAGAAGUGUGUCUCCCUGUACAUGGCCACGAUCAACUAUAAUUCGUCGCUUGACGACGAGAAGAUUUACAUUGCUCUCACAGGAGGUUUCGUCACAAGUAUGGAGGCGUCCUUUAUGUGGAUCGGAGGAUGGCGUCCCACCACAGCUUUGCUGCUCGUCUACUCGCUGAUGGGUGUCCAACUGGAGGACGAGAUUCGCAACUUCGGCUAUGGUAUCCGGGACACGACGAAUACCUCGGCGGUCCUCUCCCACAGGCAGCUAGAGAACCUGACGAACGUACAAAAGAGCACCCGCAACGUGGAGAAGAAGCUCUCUAAAAAGCUGGCUCACCUUCAGAUGCUUAUAAGCGACCAAGAUGUGCUUGCAGCCGUAAUGCAGGUAGAUUCAUCAACAAGUAGGUCAGGCUCCAAGGCUAACCCUGACAUAAGAACAGUCCUCAAGCCUCGAAUGUCGCGACUAAAGAAACUACUGAUACAGGCAGACCAACUGCGUUUACACACACUCCACCAGCUCUUUCUGGUUCUCACCCCAGUGCAAGUAGCUCGCUGCGCCAUAGCCUCAUUUGAAUUGGCGUUUAUGAUGCGUGAGCUCGGCAAUUCGGCUCACUGUAGGAAUUUACAAACUGCAGUCCCAUCUUCUUCUAACACAUUCACUUCCCAAAGUCAAGGCGACUUUGAUGUUCAAUCCUCUAGAACUUUGCCCUCGCGGCUGGAUACUGGCCCCAGCUGCAGCACUAAGGAUUCUGGCACUAGUGUAGAAGAGUGUAGUGUCGACGAUUGAUGUGUCUCAGUCUACAUUUAGAUCUAGGCAUAUAUAUAUAUAUAUAUAUAUAUAUACAUACAUAUCUAUCUAUCUAUAAAUGUAAAUGUAUAUGUGUGUGCGUAUGAUACGUAUUGGCUGCCAAGAGUUGCUCGUGUUUACAAGGGCCACUCUAUGCGAUAGUCUAACUCCUCAAAGUCGAUCUAUGUGCCAGCAAAGCCUGCAGUGAGUGCCAUUGCCGGUGCCGUCCUCUCUUCAUCAGAUUUUGGGAGUUGGAUCCCCCGGUGCGGUGCAGAUCGAUGCGAAGUCUGAGCCAGGCCGACUCCUAACGGGCCCAAACUUCUGGAAAGAGCUAGCUGCGGCAUUGUGAUGGUUAAAUCUACUCCUGGCGGCAAGAUCAUUUGAAGGAAGGCGAGAUGAGGCUCUACAGGUACAGCUAAACAUCACAUGCUAAGGUGAUCGAAGAUGGUCAGCCUGGAGGCUGCUAGCAACGGCUGCCUGAACCCAUCGACAAAUGCUGAUGGAAGAACUUCUGUAUUUCGAUGGCAGUUACCUACCGAUAGUGGUGACAGUAGAUGGAUAUGAGGACAUUUACGAUUGAAUUCUUUAGUUUAUGAAGAAAAAGGACAAAAGGUCUUUAUACGAUCAAGGAGCGUAAAGAAAUGUCUCCUAUGCUCUUUUGUAUACCAUUCAGUUCUUCACACUGGUAAUAAACUUGUAAAAGUUCAUUCAACAGA